Molecule: ribosomal RNA, 484 nt
Filed under: uncultured bacterium
Lineage: Bacteria
Description: partial 16S ribosomal RNA
Rfam family: Bacterial small subunit ribosomal RNA
Source: RNAcentral
AUUGAACGCUGGCGGCAGGCCUAACACAUGCAAGUCGAGCGGAUGAAGGGAGCUUGCUCCUUGAUUCAGCGGCGGACUGGUGAGUAAUGCCUAGGAAUCUGCCUGGUAGUGGUUUAUAACGUCCGGACACGGGCGCUAAUACCGCAUACGUCCUUAGGGCGAACGUGUGGGAUCUUCGGACCUCACGCUCUCAGAUGAUCCUAGGUCGGAUUAGCUAGUUGGUGGGUUAAAGGCCUACCAAGCCGACGAUCCGUAGCUGGUCUGUGAGAAUGAUCAGACACACUGGAAAUGAGAGACGGGCCAGACUCCUACGGGAGGGAGAAGUGGGGAAUAUUGGACAAUGGGCGAAAGAGUGAGACAGACAUGCCGCGUGUGUGAAGAAGGUCUUCGGAGUGUAAAGCACUUUAAGGUGGGAGGAAGGGAAGUAAGUGAAUAUCUUGCUGUGUUGACGUGACAAACAGAAUAAGAACAGGCUAACUUCGUG